Molecule: long non-coding RNA, 945 nt
Organism: Cryptomeria japonica (Japanese cedar)
Lineage: Eukaryota; Viridiplantae; Streptophyta; Pinopsida; Cupressales; Cupressaceae
Exons: 3
Source: RefSeq, a predicted model, not a curated record
UUUUCGUGGAACUUCAGAAAACGAAGACCAAGUUGAAAUGAUAUGUAGUGUCGAGUGGGAACGGAAUUUGUGCAUUCAAUCUAUUUUGAGUCGAUUUCCAAACGUUUCCAAACGUUCAGAGGAGUGUGCAGAUUCAAUUCACAACGUGGCCUAACGGCACUCAAAUUACAAUGGCCGUUGCAAAAAGCAGAUCGUGUGACCGUUGAAAAAGCAGGAUUUCACUUCUUUUAAAAGGAGACAUACUAGAGAUGCAGGGCAGAUUGUAUUGUUGUUUCAUAACUUUCAUUUUUUUUUCCUUUCCUUUUUAGCUUAAUUUUUUUUGGUGUGGCCAUGCCUCUGAGUUUUGCUUUUCUGAGUUUUAGUUUGAAAUUUUUACUUUUUGUACUCAGAUGUUUUCAUUUGCUUUCUGGGUUCGAAUUGCAGUACUUUUUGGUAUUUCGUGUAUUUUUUCUGUGGGUUGGUCAUUUUUAGUGGGCGUAGAGGUAGGCAGCAGCAAGAACUCUACGUUCUGGAGUGGGUGAUUGGAGAUAUGGCCAGAAAAUGGUCAAUUUAAUCAUUUGAUUGAAUCUUCAACGUCUGUUUAUUGGAUUGGAUUUGGAGUUGACCUGGCAAAUUUCAGGAGAUUGUAGGUACAAUACCGCCUAGGUGCGAGGUUCGUCUUCACCUGGAUUCGCAGGGUUGAGUAUACUUCUUUCAUCCUUAGAAUUUGGGUUAGAUGGUCGUAAAACCCUCAGUUUACCCUAGUCAUGCUCAAGUAAGCAUCGUCUGUGAUCCAUUACUUUCCCUUUUUUAUUUGGGUUUGCGGGUCGGGUAAUUGGUUGGCUUACUUGGUUUGCGUGCUUGACGUGUGGUAAAUGGAGUAUUUAACUUUAAGUAUUUAUUUUGAUUUAAUGUGUUCAUUUACGCAUUAGUAAUUAAGGAAUUAAAAUAAAUAGGUUUCUUUUA